CACGUAGUUAGCCGGGGGCUUCUUAAUCAGGUACCGUCUGGCGACCCAAAGGUCGCUAUUUCUUCCCUGCUGAUAGAGCUUUACAUACCGAAAUACUUCUUCACUCACGCGGCGUCGCUGCAUCAGGGUUUCCCCCAUUGUGCAAUAUUCCCCACUGCUGCCUCCCGUAGGAGUUUGGGCCGUGUCUCAGUCCCAAUGUGGCCGUUCACCCUCUCAGGCCGGCUACUGAUCGUCGCCUUGGUGAGCCAUUACCCCACCAACAAGCUAAUCAGACGCGGAACCAUCGUAUACCACCAGAGUUUUUCACACCACUUCAUGCGAAGCUGUGCGCUUAUGCGGUAUUAGCACCUAUUUCUAAGUGUUAUCCCCCAGUAUACGGCAGGUUUUCCACGCGUUACUCACCGUCCGCCACUAACUCAUAAUCACUAGGUUUCAAUAUGAGCCCGUUGACUUGCAUGUGUUAAGCACGCCGCAGCUUCACUCCUGAGCCAGGACUC
This 497-nucleotide ribosomal RNA is filed under the name uncultured Lachnospiraceae bacterium. RNAcentral describes it as "partial 16S ribosomal RNA". The record is from RNAcentral. Lineage: Bacteria; Bacillati; Bacillota; Clostridia; Lachnospirales; Lachnospiraceae.